UUUAUUUCAGCUGAGACAACCACACCAGAAGAUACAACAACACUCACCACAGAACCAUUAACAGCAGCAUCUACAACAGCUGAGACAACCACUCUAGAAGAUACAACAACACUCACCACAGAACCAUCAACAGCAGCAUCUACAACAGCUCAGACAACCACAUCAGAAUAUACAACAACACUCACCACAGAACCAUCAACGGCAGCAUCUACAACAG
Molecule: long non-coding RNA, 217 nt
Organism: Acipenser ruthenus (sterlet)
Lineage: Eukaryota; Metazoa; Chordata; Actinopteri; Acipenseriformes; Acipenseridae
Exons: 3
Source: RefSeq, a predicted model, not a curated record